Molecule: long non-coding RNA, 2812 nt
Organism: Pyrus x bretschneideri (Chinese white pear)
Lineage: Eukaryota; Viridiplantae; Streptophyta; Magnoliopsida; Rosales; Rosaceae
Exons: 3
Source: RefSeq, a predicted model, not a curated record
UAAAAUGUACACGCAGACGUAGGAAAAUCCUCGCACUCCCUCCCAAGUCAGGACAAAUGAAAUUAAUCUUCUGAUGAUUUUUCUAGGGUUCCAAGGAUUGAGAAAAGUAUGGGUUCUUGGAGGAUUGGAGUGAGUGAAUCUUCCCCUCCGCCUCUUCGCCUCAUCUGGCAAAGCAUCGUCCCAUUUAGCUCUGUUGCUCACAAUUACCAGAAAAAUAUUCGAAACCUAAAACCCUCAAAUCAGCAAAGCGAAUUCCCACACUUAAACUUCGAAACCAACAAAUCGAUUUCAAGUGUUAAGCGGCUAGGUUCUAGGUCUUCUAAUUCCGGCGAGCUGUUUUCUUACGAACGCCAGCAAACCGUACCGUUCGUCGUCUUGCCUUCGUCUUCCAGUUUCGAAAUUCCAAUUUAAGCGGUCGAUGAAAGCAGAGUGGGUAAGAUCAGUUGCUCUGCAGCCUCAACCUCCAAACGCUACCCCAUCACUUUGCUUCCCGGCGAUGGCAUUGGCCUCAACCUCGCCCCCUCCAUCGAUGGUUUCUUUUAAUUCUGCUUCCGUUUUCUUCCUUUUCUCAAUUUUAUUUCAGGUGCCUGAGAAACGGUGGGAAAAUUAAAAGGAAAAGUCUUUUAAUUUUCCCAUAUUUUCUUUGGGUUAAUGUUUAACAAUUUGAGCUGCUCUGUGUGUUGUAUAAUCGAGAAAUUUUGUUGGGAAAUUAGUAAUUAUAUAACAUUUGGAUAUUUGUAUAACUGAAUAUGUUUACAUAAACUAGAGAUUGAUUUUAAGUAUGAAGAAGUACCUAUUGGCUUAGAUUUGACUGGAGUGCCAUUACCUGAUGAGACCCUUUUGUCAGCUAAGCAAUUAUUCUUCUCGAAGCAGUUGGGGGUAGGUCAUGAUUGUACUUCUCAAUCCGUUUUAUUUCUUAAUGAUUAUCCUUUUCAAGUGAUAUAAUUUAGUUAAUUCGAUUAUGGUUUUUGUUUCAAAUUUUGGCUUCUAAUGAAUGAAGCGAAUUGUUCUCAAAAUUUCAAGUUUUUCAUGAAUAUGUUGCAUUUCUUUAAAGCAUGAUUUGAUUUUUUAUUGUAAUUUCAACAUUUUGGAUCUCUGUAUGCCUUUUUAUUAUAUUAUUGCUCAUUGGAUCGGAUUGAUUUGGUGUGCAGAAUUUGAAAUUUGUUGAGGGGGCCUAAUGUUACCAUUGAUGAAGUCUGUGCUUUUGGAAGGUAAGUAGUGAUAUUUAAUUAUUGUUUAUUGCAUUUUGUCAAAUUUUAUGGGAAAUUUUCUGAAUUAGGUGUGUGCUUGAUCCGAAAAAGUCUCAGAACAUUGCAAUUCUUGCUUAUUGCAUUGUGUCCAAUUUGGAAGGUAAGUUGUGAUUCUGUAAGGAUGUAUUGAAGGACCAUUUGUUUAGUUCGUUAGUGGAAUUUCGUUAUUUAUGUAUUUCCGAUAUACUUGGUACAUUGAUAAUUAAGGUUGAAAUGUCAUAAGGUUCCCUUGGUUUAUGAUUGACAAAUAAGAAGGAAUUGAAGAAGUGGGUUUAGCCUUUUAGGUUAGUGGGGAGAACGGUUACAGAAUUGUACUUGUUGUUAUUGCAGGGAAAUGAAACAUAAUUGCCGCUUCUGCAAAAUUAUUGAGUGGUAGCAAUUUGCAGAUUCCCUAUUCAAUUGAAGUAAUUUGUUUCCAAUUUUAUUUGUCUUCCUGUAAUUUUCUGAAAAAAGGGAUUGUUUUGUGGCAAAAAGCAAGGCUAUGCUCCCAUUGCUUCAAGACUUGAAGUUUUCUAUAUUCCCUGGCUUUAUCUUCGAAUUCAGGGCAUGUUGCCGAUCAAGGGAGUGUUCAAGAAUGCAAUGGCGACAUCAGUUGAAGGAAAUAGCAAGCUUUCUGGGGGCAUAUCUGAGUUUCAUUUGCCAAAGUGCAACUCUCCAGCGUCCAAAAAAAGGAAGGAUUGAGCUUAACCAUGAAAUUGGUUCUCUCUCUCAUUUGUGGGAUUUUUGGAGUUAUUUUUGCACUAACCUUUUUGUACCCUUAUUGCUCACGGAGAGAUAAAAAAGAUCUCACUUAAAGUGAUUUAGACAAACUUCCCCAGAUGUAUCAUACCAAAGUCUUCUAAGAGGAACAAAUGGAUUCUCCUCAACCAACUUGGUCGGUAUGGGCAGUUUUGGGUCCGUUUAUAAGGGAAUACUUGAGCAAAGUUAAACUACAAUUGCGAUCAAGGUACUCAACCAUGUUCAUUUAGCAGGGCUUACAAAAGUUUUAUUUAUGAGUGCGAGGCUUUCCGAAAUAUUGGACACCGUAAUCUUGUCAAGAUAGUCUCAGCAUGUUCUGGUUUUGAUUAUCGCGGUCACGACUUCAAGGCCUUAAUUUAUGAGUUCAUGGCUAACGGGAGCUUGGAGGAAUGGCUAUAUCCAAUUCAUACAAUUGGUGAGACAAAUGACAGGCCAAGGACCUUAACAAUUUCUCAAAGUUUGAAUAUUGUUUUUGAUGUUGCUAUGGCAUUGGAUUAUCUCCAUCGUCAUUGUGAGACGCCAAUAGUUCAUUGCAACCUCAAACCUAGCAAUAUUCUUCUCAAUGAGGAUAUGAUUGCACAUGUAGGUGACUUUGGGUUGGUGAGGUUCCUACCAAAAGUUGUUGAAACACUACGAAAAAUAUGGGAUUUGGUGUACACAAAUGAAGAGUUUGUGUCUUUGAGAACACUAAUAUGGUGGAACAAUGUCCAUUCAAUAAAGGAUACAAUGUAUUGUACUCAGUGUAAAAAGAAAUGGACACAAACACAUUAUUGGGCACGAAGCCAUGCCAAGUAGUGCAUAUAUAUAUAUAUAUAAUUAUUGGU